Molecule: ribosomal RNA, 472 nt
Filed under: uncultured bacterium
Lineage: Bacteria
Description: bacterial SSU rRNA
Rfam family: Bacterial small subunit ribosomal RNA
Source: RNAcentral
GACGAACGCUGGCGGCGCGCCUAAUGCAUGCAAGUCGAGCGACGCAUAUCGGAGGAGUAAUCCACUGAUAUGACGGAGCGGCGAACGGGUGAGUAUCACGUGAGAAACCUGCCCCGAAGACCGGGAUAGCCCGGGGAAACCCGGAUUAAUACCGGAUAUUCUCUACAGAUCGCAUGGUCUGCUGAGGAAAUGCCUUUGUGCUUCGGGAUGGCCUCGCGACCUAUCAGCUAGUUGGUGAGGUAAUGGCUCACCAAGGCAACGACGGGUAGCUGGUCUGAGAGGACGAUCAGCCACACUGGGACUGAGACACGGCCCAGACUCCUACGGGAGGCAGCAGCAGGGAAUCUUGUCCAAUGGGCGAAAGCCUGAGACAGCGACGCCGCGUGGGGGAUGAAGGCCUUCGGGUUGUAAACCCCUUUCAGGAGGGACGAAAUUGACGGUACCUCCAGAAGAAGCCCCGGCCAACUACGUG